Molecule: long non-coding RNA, 538 nt
Filed under: Drosophila guanche
Lineage: Eukaryota; Metazoa; Arthropoda; Insecta; Diptera; Drosophilidae
Source: RNAcentral
CAAAAUGGCACAAGGACAGACAGGCAGGAAGGAGAGCAGUUUGGCCAAACACAAUUUAGUUGCUCGAAUUUAUUUCGUUUUCAAUUGGUUUGUGUUUGCAGUGCACAGUACGAGUAAUGGUCAUAAGACAAGUAGAUAAACAGCAGAGAGAACAAACCAUGAACAGAUGCAAAGCGAAACGGAAGCGGAUUGCACAGCGGAAAACAGGCACAAAACGAAACGCAAAUGCUAGAACUAGUCGAUGUCUAAACAAAUACCCUUUCGUCUGACUAAUUAGGUAGAGGUUUGAAGCGUUUGAAAUGUAAAUUCAAAAGACACCUCCUCUAGUCAUCUCCUCUCGGCAGGGUAUUAAAACAAACAAAAAACUCGAAAUGCAACGGAAGUCUAAUGAGUAUUUGUGUGCAAUCGAGAACCUUAGAGGUGGGCUGGGAAGAGGAAACAACAAAAUAAACUGUAAUUAACUGUCGGCUCUCGCAUGAACAUGAAUCAAAGCGGUAUGUGGUCCCUGUGGAGGGGGGAGGCCGGUCAUUUAUUCCGC